This 292-nucleotide ribosomal RNA is filed under the name uncultured bacterium. RNAcentral describes it as "partial 16S ribosomal RNA". It matches the Rfam family "Bacterial small subunit ribosomal RNA", at positions 505 to 796 of the family's 1533-position model. The record is from RNAcentral.
GUGUCAGCAGCCGCGGUAAGACAGAGGGUGCAAGCGUUGUUCGGAAUUAUUGGGCGUAAAGGGCGCGUAGGCGGCCGCAUAAGUCAGGUGUGAAAGCCCGGGGCCCAACCCCGGAAGUGCGCCUGAUACUGUGUGGCUUGAAUCCCGGAGAGGGUGGUGGAAUUCCCAGUGUAGAGGUGAAAUUCGUAGAUAUUGGGAGGAAUACCGGUGGCGAAGGCGACCACCUGGACGGUGAUUGACGCUGAGGCGCGAAAGCGUGGGGAGCAAACAGGAUUAGAUACCCGAGUAGUCC